This 392-nucleotide ribosomal RNA is filed under the name uncultured bacterium. RNAcentral describes it as "partial 16S ribosomal RNA". It matches the Rfam family "Bacterial small subunit ribosomal RNA", at positions 523 to 917 of the family's 1533-position model. The record is from RNAcentral.
CUACGGAGGAUGCGAGCGUUAUCCGGAUUUAUUGGGUUUAAAGGGAGCGUAGGUGGGAUAUUAAGUCAGCUGUGAAAGUUUGGGGCUCAACCUUAAAAUUGCAGUUGAUACUGGUUUCCUUGAGUACGGUACAGGUGGGCGGAAUUCGUGGUGUAGCGGUGAAAUGCUUAGAUAUCACGAAGAACUCCGAUCGCGAAGGCAGCUCACCGGGCCGGAACUGACACUGAUGCUCGAAAGUGCGGGUAUCAAACAGGAUUAGAUACCCUGGUAGUUCGCACAGUAAACGAUGAAUACUCGCUGUUUGCGAUACACGGUAAGCGGCCAAGCGAAAGCGUUAAGUAUUCCGCCUGGGGAGUACGCCGGCAACGGUGAAACGCAAAUGAAUUGGCGGG